This 468-nucleotide ribosomal RNA is filed under the name uncultured bacterium. RNAcentral's name for it is "partial 16S ribosomal RNA". It matches the Rfam family "Bacterial small subunit ribosomal RNA", at positions 28 to 507 of the family's 1533-position model. The record is from RNAcentral.
GACGAACGCUGACGGCGUGCUUAACACAUGCAAGUCGAACGGAAAGGCCCUGUUUUUGUGGGGUGCUCGAGUGGCGAACGGGUGAGUAACACGUGAGUAACCUGCCCUUGACUUUGGUAUAACUUCAGGAAACUUGGGCUAAUACCGGAUAGGAGCUCCUCCUGCAUGGUGGGUGUUGGAAAGUUUCGGCGGUUGGGGAUAGACUCGCCUCUUAUCAGCUUGUUGGUGUGGUAGUGACUUACCAAGGCUUUGACGGGUAGACGGCCUGAGAGGGUGACCGGCGACAUUGGGACAGAGAUACGGCACAGACUCCUAUGGGAGGCAGCGGUGGGGAAUAUAGCGCAAUAGGCGGAAGACUGAGGCAGAAAAACCCCGUGCGGAAUAACGGCCUUCGGGUUGUAAACAGCUUUCGCCUGAGACGAAGCGUGAGUGACGGUAAUGGGUAAAGAAGCACCGGCUAACUACGUG